Molecule: long non-coding RNA, 1624 nt
Filed under: Nicotiana tabacum (common tobacco)
Lineage: Eukaryota; Viridiplantae; Streptophyta; Magnoliopsida; Solanales; Solanaceae
Description: long non-coding RNA (NTAB_LNC017333)
Source: RNAcentral
UUAAAGCCUCAAAAAUCUGGAAAUUGUCCUCAUUUUCACCCAUAAUUCUUUUCUCCUUCUUCUUUCUUCUCUCUCUCUUCACUCUCUCUACGCUGCCCCAGCUCCUCCCACCGCUGCCGGCCGGAUAUCACCGGCGGCGGCGGACCACCUCCAAACACCUCCAAAUUCACACCAUGUAAUCUCCACAACUUCCUCCUUCCAUAUCUCCAAACCAAAUCCUUCAAAAAUUCCUCAAACUCCUUGAAUCUUAGAUCUAGGAAACUUUCCCGUCACUUUUUUGCCUAAAUUCUUGAAGCUCCAACCACUACCACCCCACAAUACUUACAUCAAUGGAUAGAGCUCCUCAAGACCUAGCUAUUGAUGUCAAUUUCACCAUGAAAAUCCGGCGAUCAAAAUACGGCCAAAUUCCGGCGACCUCCCCGAACACCCACUUUUGAUAUACCACCAUUUUUUCGGCCACUUGAAUUAUAAAAUAGUAAAAAUUCUAUUAUUUUUCGUGGCUGAUUUUUUAUUUUAUUUUUAUUUUUUCAGAUCUUAUUUUUGUCUAUUAUUAAUUAUUUUAGCAUUAGUUUUUGAAGUUUGAAAUGUCAAAUUUUCUAUUUUUUGCACUUGUUGAAGUAGUAAAAUAGUUUUGUGUUGAUAAAAGUGAGGUAGUGAAAAAAACUUAAGAGUAUAUGGUACUUGUUUGAUUGUUUAUUUAUUACUUCAAGACUCUUUGAGUACAACACUCAAAAGUCAAAUUGUUUGGUAAGAAAAUGUAGACCUUUGGACAGUAUUUGAAUAAAAGUCUGUCUUUGAAUAGUGAAGAACAGAUUUUGUUUGAAAUACUUGACAAGAUUUGAACCAGAAAGUCUGGCAUUUUGAAUUUAAGAGCAGAUUUUGUAGAAAAAUCUGUCAAAAAAGAUUUAUUUUUAAUUUUUUUAAAUAGCUGAUUGUUUUGAUAUAAAAUGAGGACACUCCAUCUUACUGAGGGAGCGCUAGACACACAAAAAAGAGAAAAAAUCAGUAGCUAUAAUAUCCCUUAGCAGCUUUUGUGAGUUGAUUCUUAAGUGAAAAACUUGUUUAAGGAAAAUAGAGUAGUCUUGAAAGAUUUUUCUGGAGUUACAUAAUUGUAUUGUUUUGCUGGGGUAUUUCUAGUUUAUUUUCUUGGGUUUGAAUCUGCCGGUUGUCGCUGUCUUUUGCUGUUGUUGAUGCCCGUUUAAUUGUUUUGCUGUUGAUUUUGGAAAGAGCUGACUCUGCUGUAUUUGUUCUUCUUUCUGAUGUCCAGGUAAUUUUCGGACCAUGUAAACUCAUAAAUCGAGUUGGAAUGAAAGAUAAUGACGCUGGGAAAUAUUAGUAGCUUUAUCCUUCUAUAGUAAUUCAUUUUUAUAUGCUAUUGAAUGUUUGAUAAUGUUAUAACGAUAUGUUAGUUAAUUAAAUUGUGUUAAGCAUCUUUAAUUAUUUUUAUUUUUGCAAAGCAUUAGAUAUAAUUUCACUGGCAUUUGGUUGUCUGAAAGGAGUAUAUAUAUUAAAAUUUGAACCCUUGUAGCCAUGUUUGUCCCUUUGUUGUCACCAAGCUAAGUUUUUAUUAUUAUUAUUAUUAUUGUUGUUGUUGUUGUUGUUGUUGUUGUUGUUGUUGUUGUUG